GACCCGGUAGUGUAGUGGUUAACACGCCUGAAAACGCAGCAAGUAGGAGAAAGAGCUGUGAAGGAAGCUUGGGUUCAAAUCCUAACUGGGGGC
Molecule: non-coding RNA, 93 nt
Organism: Morchella snyderi
Lineage: Eukaryota; Fungi; Ascomycota; Pezizomycetes; Pezizales; Morchellaceae
Source: the annotation of a GenBank genome assembly